AGCAGCCGCGGUAAUUCCAGCUCCAAUAGCGUAUAUUAAAGUUGUUGCAGUUAAAAAGCUCGUAGUUGAAUUUCGGGAUUAGUACGUUGGUCGUGCCUUCGGUACGUACUGGUGUUACUGAUUCCUACCUUCUGACGAACCAUCAUGUCAUUAAUUUGGUGUGGCGGGGAAUCAGGACUGUUACUUUGAAAAAAUUAGAGUGUUUAAAGCAGGCUCGCGCUUGAAUACAUUAGCAUGGAAUAAUGAAAUAGGACGUUGACCCUAUUUUGUUGGUUUCUAGGAUUGACGUAAUGAUUAAUAGGGAUAGUUGGGGGCAUUAGUAUUCAAUUGUCAGAGGUGAAAUUCUUGGAUUUAUUGAAGACUAACUACUGCGAAAGCAUUUGCCAAGGAUGUUUUCAUUAAUCAAGAACGAAAGUUAGGGGAUCGAAGACGAUCAGAUACCGUCGUAGUCUUAACCAUAAACUAUGCCGACUAGGGAUCGGAUGAUGUUAUUUUUAAUGACUCAUUCGGCGCCUUACG
This 519-nucleotide ribosomal RNA is filed under the name uncultured Glomeromycotina. RNAcentral's name for it is "SSU rRNA". It matches the Rfam family "Eukaryotic small subunit ribosomal RNA", at positions 569 to 1092 of the family's 1831-position model. Lineage: Eukaryota; Fungi; Glomeromycota. The record is from RNAcentral.